RNAcentral lists this long non-coding RNA (363 nucleotides) under Musa acuminata (dwarf banana). Its description in RNAcentral is "long non-coding RNA (MACU_LNC005128)". Lineage: Eukaryota; Viridiplantae; Streptophyta; Magnoliopsida; Zingiberales; Musaceae. The record is from RNAcentral.
UCAUAUACAAAUAGAGAAGGAAAGGAAAGAGAAAACUGUACACCCAAAUUAUGGAGCACAAUUCCGCCUCAAACCCAUCCAAUAAACAAAUCUUGGAUCCGGCAUACUCCUGAUUCCCAUCGGCGAAAUUUCUGCAUCCGUUAAACUGGUACGACAUCAAGCUUCAAAGUGUCUUUGCACCCUAACACAAUCCCAUCGAGCAAUCCUGUUGGCCAAUUACUGCAUCUCUUAAACAGGUACGACAUCAAGCUUUGAAGUGUCUUCACACCUUAACACAAUCCCAUUAAGACUCACUGGGAGAAAGCAAUUGGUCCAUUGGCAACCUGUUGAAACUGGCUCAGAUGGAGGAAUGAUCAUAAUUAC